UUGUUGGCGUACUCUCUAAGA
Molecule: non-coding RNA, 21 nt
Filed under: Caenorhabditis elegans
Lineage: Eukaryota; Metazoa; Nematoda; Chromadorea; Rhabditida; Rhabditidae
Source: RNAcentral